UAUAUAUACGCAAAGGAUAGAAUGGAAUAUUUCCUUUAAGAAGAAUAAAAUAUGCUCGAUGAUCUUGGACCUCUAUUCCCAAAAGAUAUAUUGUACCAAGAGCGAAGUGGUGGCAAACUAGCAAGAGUUGAUGUGGAUGAAUUUUAACCCAUUCUAGAUAAACAUGGGGAAGGUGGAGGGAGCAUAGAGAAAGUUUGGAAGUCAGCUGAAGAUGUUAGAGAUGCAAAACCAGAGGUGAGUAGAGCAAAAUCAUGAAAGUUUUGACUCUAAUGGCGAGGAUAUAAAAAUUACCUGGACAGUAAAUGGUGGUAUUAAUAAAUUCAUGCCUUCUGUAAUCCUUGGGACCCUCUUAAUUUUUUCGUCUUGUUCCUCCUUUUCAACAACUGGCUAAUUCUUCUUUCCAGAUAAGGGAGGAUGAGGGUUUGGCUGGCAGUGGUCAAGGCGGAUAGUAAAAUGCAAAAAAAAAAAAGGAAGUUGGGAGUGUUGUCCUGGUCAUUCUCUUCUCAUUAACCUGCAUAGCAUAAUUAAAUGGUUCUCACCAUUCAGAUCUCAACUCUAAGUUCACUCCCUCAAUGUGACAAGUGACUAGGUCUCUAUAACUUGCUGUAUGAAUUCUAACAUUCUGUCAUUGCAAAGGCAAUGAUCUAUUAUAGGAUGAUCUAUUAUAGUUACAGUUUGUAUUUUGGGUAACCUUUUGACCAAUGUCUUUCUGCCUCUUUAGUCAAUAUGCUCUUUGAGAGUAGAAAGCAUGCUUCUUCUGCUUAGCACCUCAUGUAACACCGGACUUAUAGUAGGUACCCAAAUAUUUUUGAACAAAAAAAUGAAUGUAGCAGUGAAAUUCCAUGAGAAGCAUUUAGACUUGUUUUUUAUAAUGUAUAAACUUUUCUAUUGAUAAAGUACUGAAUAAAAUUGAAAAUAUAAAUCUCCCAUACUCAGAAUGGAACUUGAAAGUAUGGUCAGAGAUGACUGAUGAACAGAAUUUCUUUUAAUUUAAACAUUUCUUUUUUGCUUGUUGUGGUUUCCAUUUUAUCUAAAUAAAAGUGAUAAUUCAACUUACAUGUGUAGUUUCAAAAUAAAUAAAUUGCCAUACUCUAAAAAGUAUUAAAAAGGAAUGUAGAAUGAGACAAUAAAUGAAUCGAGAGUGUAACUUGGAAAAGUGUUCACAUUUAGGGUAAUGGAGAAAAAAGAUAACAGUUGGAAAGGAGAUAAGAAAGAAAUAUUAAACAGUGAAUAUAAUAACAAGACAAUUGUGUAACAUCAUUAAUCAAAGAGGAAACAUCUGAGAUCUUAUUAACUUCACAAAAAGGCAAAGAAAAUAAGUGUUCAUUGAGCACCUGCUACUUGCUGUGCUUUGCAAGCAGUUUAGUAUAACUUAUGUCUCAUGAUUACUAUUCUUUUUUUUUUAUCAGAUGAGGUAGCCACUUGUGAGAAAACUUAAAUAAUUUGCUUGCUGCGAUAAAGCGAGUAGACUAUGAAUUUUAAAGUCAGACUUAGGUUCAACCAGAACUCAUUGUCAUGGACAUUCUAUCUCUUUUUAAAGACUAUGCAGUUCUAUAAUAUUUCAAAAAACUUAAUAAAAUCCUUAUCAACUCCUGUAAGAACAACACUUCCAAAAAAGGAUAUACAGCUGCUGUGUUUAUAGAGAUUCAUAGGAAAAUAAAUAGAUCAACAGAAGGUAAUUUACUGUGUGGAAACUUGGAAAGGAAAGGGCCUGUGCCUCAUUCCUUUCCUACUGGGGAAGCUUAGGAAAUGAGCAACCUCAACCAGUUCUCAUUUGUAAACAUGCUAUUAACCUUGGCCCAGCAUCUCUUACUAACCUGAUACUGUACUUACAUAGAAAAGAGGAGUCCCAGGGCCGGACGUGGUGGCUCAUGCCUGUCAUCCCAGAACUUUGGGAAGCCAUGGUGGGUGGAUCACUUGAGGUCUGGAGUUUGAGACCAGCCUGGCCAACAUGGCGAAACCCUAUCUCUACUAAAAAUAAAAAAAUUACCUGGGUGUGGUGGCACAUGCCUGUAAUCCCAGCUACUCAGGAGGCUGACACAGGAGAAUCACUUGAAUCCAGGAGGCAGAGGUUGCAGUAGUGAGCGGAGAUCUCGCCACUGCACUCCAGCCUGGGCAACAGAGUGAGACACUGCCUCAAAAAAAAAAAAAAAAAAAAAAAAAAAAAGGAGUCCUUAUGUAAUAAAUAGUUAUAUCAGGAUAUAUCCAGUAUCCAGACAGCCCAGAUUGCAAUAUUGUAAAUGAACCUGCCAUUGUCAAUUUAUGCUGCAGGGCUGCCUGGAGACUGGGAGCUAGUGAGUUGUACAAUUAACAGAGUAUAAAAAGAUGUUUCCCCCAAAUUAAAGUGGAAUCUUUUGUGAGCUAUAUUCUUAUGUAUCUGUUCCAAAAAAUUCUGUUAUUCUGAAAACAAAAGGUGUUCUAAGAAAAAAGAAAGUGGACAUUUUGACGUGUUGUUGUCUGACAGUUUCAGCCUCUUCUAGGAAAGGCUGUUUCAUCUGUAUUUGUUUGCGGUAUUAUUAGUAAAGAUUGGUGCUGGGUAAUAGCUGUGAUUACUACGAAUCUGCUUUGAGGAUUUAAAUGUUUGUGCUAUUACAGAAAUCAAAAGGAAAAGUGAAGAGGAGAGAGAAUACUGACAAGAGGGGAGAUGGCAGGACAAAUAUCCUAGGAGUCCUGCUUUCCAUGAUCAGCUAAGUAUACACAGGUGAAGCAUCCAAAAAAUGUUCAAUAAAAAUGUUUAAAAGCAACUCAUUAGGCUGACAUUUCCCUUAUAUACUCUGUGUAAAUGUGAGCCUUUUAAGUACAAAUAACUUAUUUGAUGGGAAAUUUAGUUAUUAUAUUAAAAUUAAAUGUUUACUCUGCAUAUGCAAAGCUUUCCAGUGACUUCCAGAAAUAACAUACUUGCUCGCAAUAUGUGACUCUGGUAAUGAAAAUAAGUUUUUAAAAUAAUAUCUUCCUAUAAGUGAGAUUCUCCCAAUACUUGAGUUUAACACUCUGCAGGCAAAACUUUUCGAAACUUCAGGGUCAGUUUAUUUUGAUGACUAAGGAACUAACCCUUCUAUAAGAACGGAAUUAUUCCAGAAGUGUAAAACAGAUGUACUUCCAAAUAGCCAACAUAGUAAAGAAAUAAGCACAUAAAUGUCAGGGAGAUUACCAAAUUCUAGCCAUAGCAAUGUGAUUCUUGAUGUUAACUAGUUUAUAGAAAAAUGAACUCAGUUUAUUUUGUGCUAAAUAGUCUCCUAAUCUUUGUUUAAAAUCAUUAACCAAUUUUAGAUUUAAAAAUCCCUAUAGAGCUAUUCCUGCCCUCCCUACCACUCUUCAGCUGUGCAUGAUGUAUAAAUGCUUUCAUCUGAGAAACACCUCAGUGGCAAAACCAUUUGCAAUUCACAGCAUCUGCCUUAAUGGUUUAUUACUGGGGGCUAAUAUUUAAAACAAUUGCUAUUUUGUGCAGUGCUUUACUACACCACUUGGAAUGUUUCUCCUGAUAGAUAAGUAAAGGGACAAUUUUCAGUAUCUCUACUUUAACUCCAGGGUCCCCAAAAGUGAAUUUGGC
This 3550-nucleotide long non-coding RNA is filed under the name Homo sapiens (human). Its description in RNAcentral is "long non-coding RNA NONHSAT212838.1". Lineage: Eukaryota; Metazoa; Chordata; Mammalia; Primates; Hominidae. The record is from RNAcentral.